GCAACUUGUACCCUGUCUCAAAAAAACCAAAAUUUUAAGUCAGACAACAUGCAAAAGUAACAUCUUCCUUUAAAAUGAUUGGUAUGCUGUUUUUUAUGGUAUAUCAUUAUUAAAAGUGAGUACAAGU
Small nucleolar RNA from Myodes glareolus (Bank vole), 127 nucleotides. RefSeq annotates it as small nucleolar RNA SNORA15. NCBI's taxonomy places the organism in Eukaryota, Metazoa, Chordata, Mammalia, Rodentia, Cricetidae. The record is from RefSeq and is a predicted model, not a curated record.